GAAGUAAAAGUCGUAACAAGGUUUCCGUAGGUGAACCUGCGGAAGGAUCAUUACAGUAGUCAUCCGGGUUGCCGCAAGGCCUCCCGGGUAACCUACCACCCUUUGUUUAUUACACUUUGUUGCUUUGGCAGGCCUGCCCUCGGGCUGCUGGCUCCGGCCGGCGAGCGUCUGCCAGAGGACCUAAACUCUGUUUGUCUAUAAUGUCUGAGUACUAUAUAAUAGUUAAAACUUUCAACAACGGAUCUCUUGGUUCUGGCAUCGAUGAAGAACGCAGCGAAAUGCGAUAAGUAAUGUGAAUUGCAGAAUUCAGUGAAUCAUCGAAUCUUUGAACGCACAUUGCGCCCCCUGGUAUUCCGGGGGGCAUGCCUGUCCGAGCGUCAUUACAACCCUCAAGCUCAGCUUGGUGUUGGGCCCCGCCGCCCCGGCGGGCCCUAAAGUCAGUGGCGGUGCCGUCCGGCUCCGAGCGUAGUAAUUCUUCUCGCUCUGGAGGUCCGGUCGUGUGCUUGCCAGCAACCCCCAAUUUUUUUCAGGUUGACCUCGGAUCAGGUAGGGAUACCCGCUGAACUUAAGCAUAUC
RNAcentral lists this ribosomal RNA (576 nucleotides) under Geomyces sp. 20KY02. Its description in RNAcentral is "eukaryotic LSU rRNA". The stretch from base 227 to 380 matches the Rfam family "5.8S ribosomal RNA". Lineage: Eukaryota; Fungi; Ascomycota; Leotiomycetes; Thelebolales; Pseudeurotiaceae. The record is from RNAcentral.